This 223-nucleotide non-coding RNA is filed under the name Candidatus Desulfosporosinus infrequens. The record is from RNAcentral. Lineage: Bacteria; Bacillati; Bacillota; Clostridia; Eubacteriales; Desulfitobacteriaceae.
GGAAAGCAUAGGAUCGACCCAGUACAGUAAACGGUGAUGUUCAGAGAGAAAAACAAUUGCUGAAAGUUUUUCCACACACGAUAUUGGAAGCCCAGUCGUGAUGCUCUGAUGAGGAGUCGGACGGUAUCCACCGUUAAAUGGACUGUUGCUAGAGAAAUUUAGUAACAUGAAGUUGGCAUGUGCAAUAAAGGUGGUACCGCGGAAGGUUUCUUUCGUCCCUUAA